RNAcentral lists this non-coding RNA (29 nucleotides) under Rattus norvegicus (Norway rat). The record is from RNAcentral. Lineage: Eukaryota; Metazoa; Chordata; Mammalia; Rodentia; Muridae.
UGUGUGCUCGCGCCUGUGCGUGUGUGUAU